AUUGAACGCUGGCGGCAGGCCUAACACAUGCAAGUCGAGCGAGCGGCGGACGGGUGAGUAAUGUCUGGGAAACUGCCUGAUGGAGGGGGAUAACUACUGGAAACGGUAGCUAAUACCGCAUACCAUCAGAUGUGCCCAGAUGGGAUUAGCUGGUAGGUGGGGUAACGGCUCACCUAGGCGACGCUCCCUAGCUGGUCUGAGAGGAUGACCAGACACACGGGAACUGCUACACGGUCCAGACUCCUACGGUAGGCAGCAGUGGGGAAGAGUGCACAAUGGGCGCAAGCCUGAUGCAGCCAUGCCGGGUGUGUGAAGAAGGCCUUAGGGUUGUAAAGCACUUUAAGCGGGGAGGCGUUACCCGCAGAAGAAGCACCGGCUAACUCCGUGCCAGCAGCCGCGGUAAUAC
RNAcentral lists this ribosomal RNA (406 nucleotides) under uncultured bacterium. RNAcentral's name for it is "partial 16S ribosomal RNA". It matches the Rfam family "Bacterial small subunit ribosomal RNA", at positions 29 to 526 of the family's 1533-position model. The record is from RNAcentral.